Aplysia californica (California sea hare) is the source of this 797-nucleotide long non-coding RNA. RefSeq lists it as uncharacterized. NCBI's taxonomy places the organism in Eukaryota, Metazoa, Mollusca, Gastropoda, Aplysiida, Aplysiidae. The transcript is spliced from 2 exons. The record is from RefSeq and is a predicted model, not a curated record.
UCUGAUCUACGAAGUGUUUUUUUCCGAGUUUACUGUAAGUAAACUGAUUGUUUUCUGUUUCCAAGUGGUCGAGCGCUUUUGUUUACAUAAUUUAAUUGAUUCAAGAUGGCGGACCGAUCAGCUGAGUGGCGUAUUUCAUCGAUGUGGAACGAUCUCAGGCGGAUUGGAAUGAGACAAAUCACAGACGAAAAUGAAUUGGAUGAACUGAUUAUUGAUUAUUUCAAUGCAAGACCUAUUGAUUGUGAAGACAGUAGAUUCUAGUUUGGAGGAGGAGACACAUGAUGAACCAAUUACGACGACGACCGUGGCCGUGACACACCCACACACACCCACACCCCCCUGCUCAUGACCAAGAUCUGGAAUCUGGAACUUCAUGAAGAAGAAGUCCUGGUUCCUGUUCAACCAAUUGGCAUAACAUCAUCAGAAGGUGCAAUUGCUGUCCUAUCAUGCUCCCAGUGAAGCAGAUCCAACAACAAAAUGAUGCUGACCAGUCCAGUAUUGCUGAAGGUAAUGCCUCUCUCAAUGGAAUUGAAUAAUAGACUAGGGCUACUACUACUACAAUUUAUAUUGAUGCUAACACCUGCUUUAAAUUUCUUGAUUCAUUUACAAAGCAGAAAAUAAUCGAUCUUACAUACUUUUUAGCUUUAAUUAUUCGACUUGAAAAGAACCAUGAGAGAUGCUGCACCACACUAACUUGUAUUGUUGAAGGUGAUGCCUCUCAAUUAAAUUAAAUAUUAUAGCAUUAUAGUUCAGUGUGAUGCUGACUCUUGCUUUAAAUUUUAAAAUUCCUUUACAAA